Ovis aries (sheep) is the source of this 71-nucleotide transfer RNA. It matches the Rfam family "tRNA". Rfam says of the family: Transfer RNA (tRNA) molecules are approximately 80 nucleotides in length. NCBI's taxonomy places the organism in Eukaryota, Metazoa, Chordata, Mammalia, Artiodactyla, Bovidae. The record is from Rfam.
UCCCAGAUGUUUCAGCAGUAAAGAAUCUGCCUGCAACGCAGGAGACCUGGGUUCGAUCCCUGGGUGGGGAA